Molecule: RNA transcript, 407 nt
Organism: Piliocolobus tephrosceles (Ugandan red Colobus)
Lineage: Eukaryota; Metazoa; Chordata; Mammalia; Primates; Cercopithecidae
Gene name: 28S ribosomal protein S14, mitochondrial pseudogene
Exons: 1
Source: RefSeq, a predicted model, not a curated record
ACAACAUGGCGGCCUUCAUGCUGGGUUGGCUGCUUCGGACGUUGAAGCAGAUGGUUCCUUCAUCAGCUUCAGGCCAAGUUCGAAGUCACUACCUAGACUGGAGAAUGUGGCGCGAUGUGAAGAGACGAAAAAUGGCCUAUGAAUACACAGAUGAGAGGCUACGUAUUAAUUCAUUCAGGAAGAAUACCAUUUUGCCAAAAAUUCUUCAGGACGUGGCCGAUGAAGAAAUCGCUGCCCUCCCCCCGGAUAGCUGUCCUGUUAGAAUCAGAAAUUGGUGUGUUAUGACGUCCCGUCCGCGUGGUGUGAAGUGGCGCUGGAGGCUUAGUCGUAUAGUCUUCCGUCACUUAGCUGACCACGGGCAACUUUCUGGGAUCCGGCGAGCAAUCUGGUAAAUGAGCUCCAGAACC